UUAGUUUUUGGACAGACGUCAAGAUUCUGCCCUUGGUGUUUCUAUCACACAAUGCCUGAAGACAUAUUAGACAUGCUUCUAUUUGAUCUCCCUUCUAAAUCCCGUAAUUUUUCCAACUCUCGCUUAGGUGUUCCCUGGGCCAGGACCAAAAUCUGUGGAAUAGCAGCUUUGCCAAAGGACCUGAGUGAAAAGAGAAUGUAGUGUGUGCAGCGACCUGCCGGAGGAUCUGAAGCACAUCUUCCUUUAUUUCUCCAGCCUGGCCGCUUUCAGACAGAGGCUAAGAGACUUGUAAAAAAAAACAAUGCCGAUGGCACUUUAAGACUGUUGUAGAUUGGAACUGAGCCACAUUUUUUGGCCUGUCUGCAAAUUCCAGUACGCAAAACAUUGGACUCAUAAAAAUUGCCCUUGCAUUUGGCAGACACGCCACUUUCAUCAGGAGGAACUACGCUUCGUACCAAGGAAAAAGACUUGGAAUUCGGUUGCUAUUCGCUAACUGCUGUAUUCAGCCAACAAAGACUCUAUGGAGAACUUGCUUUUCUCUAACGUGGACAUUUGUAAGAUGGCUCAAGGAGAUCGAGGUUUCCGAGUGUUAACACGUGUGGGAGCGACUGCUGUGACCCUCCACCCGGACCUAAAAACCGCUUUGGGGAUCUCGAAACAAGUCGGUCAACUCAGACAGAAGGGCGGAGUUUCACACACAGUUCCCUGUUCUGAACAGCCUGUACCACUGAGAUAUCUGACAGUGUGACAAUUAGUAACGUCCUUAAAUGUCUGCGAUUUCUUCUCUUAUAUAACAUGUCUGUUGUUUGAUUCGAAAAAUAUGGCCAUUAUAUAUGAAUAUAUAUAUAUAUAUAUUUUUUUACAACUUUCCCUUCCAAGUCUAAAAACAUUGUAGAUAGCAGGUCAUUUAUUUUGUCCACUAGCCUAAUAAUAAUAGGAUGGUUACAAAAAUGGAUGAAUGACAUGAAAGCCUCAGUUGUGUUGUGAAGAAAUGAAUUCAUACCCACACAGGACAGGCUAUGAAUGAUUAUGUUUUUGCUUUACAACAUAAGACACUGUAACUUCAUCUCUCAUAAUGGUGAACAGUGCCAUCUAGGGACUCUCUCAUUAAAGUAAUAAAAUACCA
This is a long non-coding RNA of Siniperca chuatsi (mandarin fish), 1126 nucleotides long. RefSeq lists it as uncharacterized. NCBI's taxonomy places the organism in Eukaryota, Metazoa, Chordata, Actinopteri, Centrarchiformes, Sinipercidae. The record is from RefSeq and is a predicted model, not a curated record. The transcript is spliced from 2 exons.